CAGUUUUGGCGGAGCCAUCCUUGGGAUACCACCCUUGUAGUACUGGGACUCUAACCAUAGGCCAUGAAUCUGGUCUUGGGACACUGUCAGGUGGGCAGUUUGACUGGGGCGGUCGCCUCCCAAAAGGUAACGGAGGCGCUCAAAGGUUCUCUCAGUACGGUCGGAAAUCGUACGUAGAGUGUAAAGGCAAAAGAGAGCUUGAUUGCAAGACAUACAGGUCGAGCAAGGAUGAAAAUCGGACUUAGUGAUCCGGUGGUUCUGCGUGGAAGGGCCAUCGCUCAACGGAUAAAAGCUACCCUGGGGAUAACAGGCUUAUCUCCCCCAAGAGUCCACAUCGACGGGGAGGUUUGGCACCUCGAUGUCGGCUCAUCACAUCCUGGGGCU
This 384-nucleotide ribosomal RNA is filed under the name Clostridioides difficile. Its description in RNAcentral is "bacterial LSU rRNA". It matches the Rfam family "Bacterial large subunit ribosomal RNA", at positions 2172 to 2554 of the family's 2925-position model. The record is from RNAcentral. Lineage: Bacteria; Bacillati; Bacillota; Clostridia; Peptostreptococcales; Peptostreptococcaceae.